This is a long non-coding RNA of Dermacentor silvarum, 386 nucleotides long. RefSeq lists it as uncharacterized. The record is from RefSeq and is a predicted model, not a curated record. The transcript has 2 exons. NCBI's taxonomy places the organism in Eukaryota, Metazoa, Arthropoda, Arachnida, Ixodida, Ixodidae.
CGCGUCCUUACGCGCGCCACGGAAGUGAGGAGAGCAGACGCCUUUUUCCCUCUUCCCGUUCGGGGAGCCAAACGGCUUUUCGUGCGGUGGCGUGAUCCUCUUGGAAACCGGUUGCAAACGCAGCGGUGACGUAGCCCCGCGCUCACUGGACCGAGCCCAGAACGAGGCGGGGCGGGCGCGACCGGUGCGACCGGCGCACGCCGGAGAAAGGGGAGACGACUGCGAGCCGCGACGAAGGACGGAGCUCAGGUAACCAUCUUGUUCCCUUCCUUUGUCGUGCCCUACCUUGUUCGACCACUAUCGACCACGACAAACGUCGAGGUCGACUCUAUAGCCUGCUUCCACGCGAAUUCCCAUGGAGCAAUAAACCCUUUUUAUACUUGUUA